AGGCGACGAUCCCUAGCUGGUCUGAGAGGAUGACCAGCCACACUGGAACUGAGACACGGUCCAGACUCCUACGGGAGGCAGCAGUGGGGAAUAUUGCACAAUGGGCGCAAGCCUGAUGCAGCCAUGCCGCGUGUAUGAAGAAGGCCUUCGGGUUGUAAAGUACUUUCAGCGGGGAGGAAGGGAGUAAAGUUAAUACCUUUGCUCAUUGACGUUACCCGCAGAAGAAGCACCGGCUAACUCCGUGCCAGCAGCCGCGGUAAUACGGAGGGUGCAAGUGUUAAUCGGAAUUACUGGGCGUAAAGCGCACGCAGGCGGUUUGUUAAGUCAGAUGUGAAAUCCCCGGGCUCAACCUGGGAACUGCAUCUGAUACUGGCAAGCUUGAGUCUCGUAGAGGGGGGUAGAAUUCCAGGUGUAGCGGUGAAAUGCGUAGAGAUCUGGAGGAAUACCGGUGGCGAAGGCGGCCCCCUGGACGAAGACUGACGCUCAGGUGCGAAAGCGUGGGGAGCAAACAGGAUUAGAUACCCUGGUAGUCCACGCCGUAAACGAUGUCGACUUGGAGGUUGUGCCCUUGAGGCGUGGCUUCCGGAGCUAACGCGUUAAGUCGACCGCCUGGGGAGUACGGCCGCAAGGUUAAAACUCAAAUGAAUUGACGGGGGCCCGCACAAGCGGUGGAGCAUGUGGUUUAAUUCGAUGCAACGCGAAGAACCUUACCUGGUCUUGACAUCCACGGAAGUUUUCAGAGAUGAGAAUGUGCCUUCGGGAACCGUGAGACAGGUGCUGCAUGGCUGUCGUCAGCUCGUGUUGUGAAAUGUUGGGUUAAGUCCCGCAACGAGCGCAACCCUUAUCCUUUGUUGCCAGCGGUCCGGCCGGGAACUCAAAGGAGACUGCCAGUGAUAAACUGGAGGAAGGUGGGGAUGACGUCAAGUCAUCAUGGCCCUUACGACCAGGGCUACACACGUGCUACAAUGGCGCAUACAAAGAGAAGCGACCUCGCGAGAGCAAGCGGACCUCAUAAAGUGCGUCGUAGUCCGGAUUGGAGUCUGCAACUCGACUCCAUGAAGUCGGAAUCGCUAGUAAUCGUGGAUCAGAAUGCCACGGUGAAUACGUUCCCGGGCCUUGUACACACCGCCCGUCACACCAUGGGAGUGGGUUGCAAAAGAAGUAGGUAGCUUAACCUUCGGGAGGGCGCUUACCACUUUGUGAUUCAUGACUGGGGUGAAGUCGUAACAAGGUAACCGUAGGGGAACCUGCGGUUG
Molecule: ribosomal RNA, 1256 nt
Filed under: Escherichia coli 4-203-08_S3_C3
Lineage: Bacteria; Pseudomonadati; Pseudomonadota; Gammaproteobacteria; Enterobacterales; Enterobacteriaceae
Description: bacterial SSU rRNA
Rfam family: Bacterial small subunit ribosomal RNA
Source: RNAcentral